GACGAACGCUGGCGGCGUGCUUAACACAUGCAAGUCGAACGGUGAAGCUCCAGCUUGCUGGAGUGGAUCAGUGGCGAACGGGUGAGUAACACGUGAGCAACCUGCCCCUGACUCUGGAAUAAGCGCUGGAAACGGCGUCUAAUACUGGAUACGAGAAGGGUCCGCAUGGGCACUUUCUGAAAAGUUUUUCGGUUGGGGAUGGGCUCGCGGCCUAUCAGCUUGUUGGUGAGGUAAUGGCUCACCAAGGCGACGACGGGUAGCCGGCCUGAGAGGGCGACCGGCCACACUGGGACUGAGACACGGCCCAGACUCCUACGGGAGGCAGCAGUGGGGAAUAUUGCACAAUGGGCGAAAGCCUGAUGCAGCGACGCCGCGUGAGGGAUGACGGCCUUCGGGUUGUAAACCUCUUUCAGCAGGGAAGAAGCGAAAGUGACAGUACCUGCAGAAGAAGCACCGGCUAACUACGUG
This 468-nucleotide ribosomal RNA is filed under the name uncultured bacterium. Its description in RNAcentral is "partial 16S ribosomal RNA". It matches the Rfam family "Bacterial small subunit ribosomal RNA", at positions 28 to 507 of the family's 1533-position model. The record is from RNAcentral.